This 400-nucleotide unclassified non-coding RNA is filed under the name uncultured fungus. RNAcentral describes it as "sequence contains ITS1". The stretch from base 1 to 97 matches the Rfam family "5.8S ribosomal RNA", at positions 50 to 154 of the family's 154-position model. The record is from RNAcentral. Lineage: Eukaryota; Fungi.
GAAAUGCGAUACGCAAUGCGAAUUGCAGAACGCGAGUCAUCAGAUCUUUGAACGCAAGUGGCGUCGGUUAACAGCCGACAUGUGGUGCUCAGUGUGUUUCGGAAAUCAUACACGCGGAAUGUGGUUGAAGGGCGCGCAAGCACUCUUCUCCCAUUAAACGCGCGCUGGACCGGCACGGAACUGACUUUCUAACCGCUGUGGCAACACAGCGGGAGGGGUCUCUCCGGCAUUGGCUCCUGCCCGGAAGUAGUCACUAGCUUUCUAGUGAUCUACGGGCUUGGGGGAUACAAACCGAUGCUGCUUGAGGGGCUGUCAACAACUCUGCGCUUUAAUAAACGUGUCCGCGACUAUACUAAAAACACUUCCCAUCCUACACCUGAGCUUCACAAGAUCACCCGCU